Panicum hallii is the source of this 1748-nucleotide long non-coding RNA. RefSeq lists it as uncharacterized. The transcript has 2 exons. The record is from RefSeq and is a predicted model, not a curated record. NCBI's taxonomy places the organism in Eukaryota, Viridiplantae, Streptophyta, Magnoliopsida, Poales, Poaceae.
AACCCCACCCCACUCUCAUUCCCUUCCCUGGCUUCCAGCCGCAACCUCCGCUCCCACCCGCCUCCUGUGCGUGCGCCUCACCUUUCGGCCUCCGCAGCUCCACUCCCUCCCUCUCUCUCAAAUCUGACCGAGCGCCGGCCGGCCGGCGGCCAAGGCGCUCGUUCCGUGCUCCCCCCUCCUCCCUCCUCCCUAUCGACCGAGGAGGCGAGGAAUGAGCGGACCGGGUGCCCGAAGCCCUGGUCCUCCAUGCCGACACGCCCCAAGCGGCCAAGCUCCAGGUGGCCAGGUCCCCUCUGCCACCGGCUCACCGCCCCAGGAAAGCCACUCUCGGAACCUGCGGCGGCUUGCCGCCCCCCAGGCUGCUCCGGAUCUGCCGGCCGCCGCUUUCCUACCGACCCCAAGUCGGCCAUCAGCUCUCAAUGGCCACCAACCCCACAGGUAAUGGAUGUUGGUACAGGGAACCUCCAUGAUGACGCCUCCAAGGAGAACACAACGUUGAUGAUGCCAUCACCGCCCAUCCGACGAGCUGGAGUUAAGUUUUCACUUGAAGGACCACUGAACUUUGUAGAAAGUACCACAACAACGCCUCAAUGGAGGGAAACAACGUCCCAACAGCUUCAUCGUUGUUGAUCCGACACAACAAUCAGGUAUAGCUUUCGCCCAAUGCUUCUGCAUGACAACAUCAUCGCCACUUCAAGCAGGCUAACCAUCAAAGAAGGGAUGACGAGAGAGAUCAAACCAUGCCAGCAUAGCCGACACCGCCUGCCGCCCGAACAGACCACAACCAUCGUUCCCCCUCACCAUACCACCGUAACAACACCAGGUCGUAGAUCUGAGCUGGGGCCUUGGCAGCUCGGUGCUGGCCGCUAGAUCUGGCUACUCCAUCACCGGAUCCAACCGCUUGGACAGUGAACGCCCCUCUCCGCGGAAGCCGCCGCCACCGUCAACAUAUUUGAAGCAGACACCCUGAGGCACAAGGAAUCCAUCGAGGAAGGCCCUGCCGCCGCCUUCCUUGCGGCUGCCGGGCAGCCUACUGUUGCCGGUGAUGUGGAUUGAUUGUUUAGGAGAGGAGAAUGUUUCUGCACUGCUGAAAUUUCCUUGUUUAUUAUUGUUGGUCUAUUUGCUGCAUGCACUGAUGUUACUUGUUAGUUGUUCUGAUUUUUAUUGUUCUAAUGUUAGUAUAUGAUAUGCAGGCUAAUAUUAUUCAUCAUUAUUUUGAUAGGGUACGAUAUUUAAUAAUAAUUAUAGAAAAAAUAAUGAUGAAAAAUUCAUAAUAUAUUUUGUGACAUGCAUUGUGGUGCUCACUACAAUCCUGCAAAAUCUUAAAUUAAGAUUCCACUUGUAUGUGGAGAAAUGAAAAGGCAAAUUGUAUCAGGAGGUAAAUUGGACCAAAUGACAUAGUUUAGGGGCCAAAUUGAACCGAGAAAUAGUUAGACUUUGGUGAUACUUGAGGAGAAUAAUAUGGACUUUUUCCUAUAUUUAAUAUGAGCUUUUCUAAUGUUAAUAUGUGAUGUUAAUAUGUUCUGAUUUUUAUUGUUCUAAUGUGAAUAUACGAGCUCUUCUAAUAGUUUGCACGUUUUAAUUGUUCUGCAGUUGCAAUGGCUAGUAGCUCCCAAGUGCCAGGCUCUCAAGAAUCUUGCAUGGUUGUAUUAUUUUAUUUCUGUUAAUGUGUGAUGACUUGAGAUGAUGGUGUGAUGUAUCAUGUAUGAGACUAUUUUAUUUGUUUGUUCAAUAAAAUGAUGUUAGCA